This 224-nucleotide ribosomal RNA is filed under the name uncultured bacterium. RNAcentral describes it as "partial 16S ribosomal RNA". It matches the Rfam family "Bacterial small subunit ribosomal RNA", at positions 524 to 747 of the family's 1533-position model. The record is from RNAcentral.
UACGUAGGUGGCAAGCGUUGUCCGGAUUUAUUGGGGUUAAAGGGGGCGUAGGCGGCUUUUUAAGUCAGUGGUGAAAGCCGAUCGCUUAACGAUCGAACUGCCAUUGAUACUGAGAGGCUUGAGUAUAGUUGAGGUAGGCGGAAUUGACAGUGUAGCGGUGAAAUGCAUAGAUAUUGUCAAGGACACCAAUUGCGAAGGCAGCUUACUAAAGUAUAACUGACGCU